UGCCCCGGGUGAGGCUCGAACUCACGGCCUUCAGAUUAGGAGACUGACGCGCUGCCUACUGCGCUACGAGGC
RNAcentral lists this transfer RNA (72 nucleotides) under Caligus rogercresseyi. RNAcentral describes it as "tRNA-Arg". Lineage: Eukaryota; Metazoa; Arthropoda; Copepoda; Siphonostomatoida; Caligidae. The record is from RNAcentral.